AACGAACGCUGGCGGCAUGCCUAACACAUGCAAGUCGAACGAGACCUCCGGGUCUAGUGGCGCACGGGUGCGUAACGCGUGGGAACCUGCCCUUAGGUUCGGAAUAACUCCCCGUAAGGGGUGCUAAUACCGGAUAAUGUCUUCGGACCAAGGAUUUAUCGCCUUUGGGUGGGCCCGCGUUGGUUUAGCUGGUUGGUAGGGUAAAAGCCUACCAAGGCGACGAUCCAUAGCUGGUCUGAGAGGAUGAUCAGCCACACUGGGACUGGGACACGGCCCAGACUCCUACGGGAGGCAGCAGUGGGGAAUAUGGGACAAUGGGCGAAAGCCUGAUCCAGCAAGGCCGCGUGAGUGAUGAGGGCCUUAGGGUUGUAAGGCUCUUUUACCCGGGAUGAUAAUGACAGUACCGGGAGAAUAGGCUCCGGCUACCUCCGU
This 432-nucleotide ribosomal RNA is filed under the name uncultured bacterium. Its description in RNAcentral is "partial 16S ribosomal RNA". It matches the Rfam family "Bacterial small subunit ribosomal RNA", at positions 29 to 506 of the family's 1533-position model. The record is from RNAcentral.